GAAUGAGAACAUGUAUUUUCAAGACAGAUAUUAGCAAGACUCAAGUGACCCUCAUCUUCAUUAGCCUGGAAAGCAGUGGACCGUUGGUCAUUGCAAGCAUCCAUUAUAGCACACACACCAGCAAGUCCCAACUUUCUCACACUGUGUAAGCCGAGCUACAAAAACCUUCAGACCAGAGCAGCUGCCUGGAAAAAGCAGAAACCAGCAGAGCUGCCUGAAUCGAUUUAGACCAACUAAGGUACCUGGAAAGGACACUGUCCAACCUGUUGAACUGGCUGCAGGAUGUUCAGUAUAUGUUGAGCUCCUGCAAGCUGCUGGGAUGAAGAUCCAGAGGAUACGGCCAGACUGGCUCUCUUCCCCCACAAAAACAUCUGGCUUUGACACCUGGGGACAAUGGCUCUUGCCUGUGAAUCACAACUGCGGGAUGAGCUGGAACUGUUUUUGCAGGCGCGAUCUGUAAAAGAGGGAAAGUAAGAAAAGGUCUGGAAACUUCCAAUCUCCUGGGCCCAUCAGGAAGAA
Molecule: long non-coding RNA, 519 nt
Organism: Grammomys surdaster
Lineage: Eukaryota; Metazoa; Chordata; Mammalia; Rodentia; Muridae
Exons: 4
Source: RefSeq, a predicted model, not a curated record